GGCCACCCUGUCUUUUGGACUAUUUGUAGAGAGAGAGAGAGAGAGAGAGAGAGGUCUCGUAUCGUCUCCUCCUCCUCUAAACCCUAGAUCGUGAUCUGCAAUUCAAUCAAUCAAUCAAUCAAUCUCGAUUGACAUAUUAAUGGCGAAGCUUGAACCUCUGGAGGAACCGAGUCAGAAGCAGAAGCAGAAGACGAAGACGAAGAGGAAUCAUGGAUCUACCAAGUUCUUCGUAUUCGUAGACUACCUCUUCCUACUCAUAUUUAUCUGUUUCCUCUGCUUCAUACUCUUCAAAAUGAUCGGCAUUUGAUUAUUUCCUUGAGGAUUGGAUGUAUAAGCAGCAGAUUGGGACUAGCUGUAGAAUUGGAGACCUCUAUGUGGUGGAGAGCUCGCAUCUACCAAUGAUUACUUCUCCGACUGCCUUUUCCUCUUUUCAAUUAGAUUUUUUGUCAAGUCUUUUCUAUUUGUGGUAUUCUAGAUUAGGGCAUUUGUCCGCUGACCGCUUACGGUGUUUAGCUCAGUCCGAUAUAUUGGGUAAAGUUUCUCUUAGUCAACUUAACGAGAGUCAAGGCUGUAAACUUGCCAAAAUGACAGUCUUACUGAUGUCUGGGGUCCUUCUCCUGUUCUCACUGAAGAGUGUUCUACAUACUAUGUGUCAUUUGUUGAUGACUGCACUCGUUAUACUUGGAUUUAUCUCAUGACUCAUAAGUAUGACUUUUACCAGAUAUACCGUACUUUUCAGUCUAUGGUCACUACACAAUUUGGAUCUACUAUUAAAUUAUUACGGUUUGACUUGGGUGGGAAUAUUUUAAAAUUAAGUUUUGUGAGUAUUUGGCCAAUUUAGGUACCAUUCACCAGACUUUCUGUACUGAUACAACUGCCCAAAAUGGUCGCGCUAAACGUAAACAUCGUCAUCUCCUUGAGAUAGUUAGGUCUCUCCUUCUCUCUGUUUCUGUUUCGGCUUCGUUUUGGGGUGAGGUAAUUCUUAUUUCUACUUUUCUUUUCCAUCGUAUGCCUACUUUCCUUUUCUCUGGUUGGUCUCCUUAUGAGGCUCUAUUUUCUCAAUUUUCCAAUUACUCCAUCAUUUGUGUGUUUGGGUCUACUUGUUUUAUCUUUUUACCCUGUAAAGAUAAGACCAAACUAUUAUGACCCUGUUUUUCGUCGCCUAUAUGUCUCCCACCAUGUUGCCUUUCUUGAACGUCUACCUUACUUUCAACUUCCUCCUCUCACAGUCCUAGUUUCCAAAGAGGAUUUGGUUCAUAUUGAUUCAUUUCCUUCUAAGGUCCCUCUUGAUAAGUACAUUUUACUUGUUCCCCAUGAGCUUGUUCUGUCUUCUCUUUGUCCCAUCCCACCUGAUGAGUCCCUUUCCCCUGACCCCCAUGAGUCUAUUUCCUCUUCUCUUCCUCGUCUUUCCCCACCUGCACCUACUCUUUCUCCUCCUCCUCCUCCUACUCCUUAUCCUCUUCCGUUGUUAGUCUAUGCUCAUCGCACGACUCUUUUUCCACCACAUUGUCUCUACCCUUGCUGUUGAUCCCCUUACUUCUAGCGACUCUUAUCUUGCUAACUGUAAGUAUCCUCUUCGUAUCCGUAAAUAAAUAAUCAAAUUUGAUUUUGCUAAAGCAUGUUUUUAUCCUUCAUACUGCACUUUUUUGUCUGCUAUUCACUCUUUUUCAGAAUACCAGUCUUACAAGGAUGCUUUUCAGGGUUCUAAUUGGGUACGAGCUAUGGAGGAUGAACUGUCUGUUUUGCAGAAGACUACUACUUGGGAGUUAGUUCCGUUGCCUACCGGCAAAAAUCUUGUUGGUUGCAAAUGGGUCUAUAAAGUCGAGACUCACUCUAAUGGUUCUCUUGAGCGCUACAAAGCUCGCUUGGUUGCCAAAGGUUUCUCUCAGGAGUAUGGUAUUGAUUAUGAGGAGACCUUUGUCCCUGUUGCCAAGAUGACUACAGUUCAUAUUUUGAUUUUUGUUGCUAUUAGAUAGAUGUUAAGAAUGUCUUUCUUAAUGGCCAUCUUAUUGAGGCGGUUUACAUGCGUUUUCUCCCUGGCCUUCACUAUUCUUUUGGAUAGGUUUGUCAUCUUUGGUGUGCUCUGUAUGGUCUGAAGCAAUCUCCUCAUAUUUGGUAUGAUCGCUUUCAGACUGCUGUUACUGAGUUUGGGUUUCAUCCUUUUGCCCAGGACUCUGCUUUGUUUCUUCUCCACACCUCUAUUGGUUUUGUUGCCUUAUUACUGUAUGCGGAUGAUAUGAUUAUUACUGGCUUUGAUUCUUCUGCUAUCUCUAAGGUCAAGCAGCAUCUCUUCUGCACCUUCGAAAUGAAGAAUUUAGGCCCAUUGCGGUAUUUUAUUAGUCUUCAGGUGGCUUUUUCUCCCAAUGAUUACUUUCUAUCUCAGGCCAAGUAUGCUAAUGAAGUUAUUCACCGUGCCGGUCUUAUUGACACUAAGAUUGCUGAUACCUCCAUUGAGCUUAAUGUGAAACUUAACACUACUUAUGGUGUUCCUCUGCCUGAUCUUACUUUAUAUCAAGAGUUCAUGCGUUGUUUUGUCUAUCUGAUAGUUAGUCAGUUCGUUUCUGCUCCUUAUUCUACACAUUGGACUGCUUUGGUUCGAAUUCUUCACUAUUUUCGCGGUACUAUUUUCCAAGGAUUGCUGUUGUCAUUUACUUCUUCCUUGGCUUUAGUAGCCUAAGCUGAUGCUGAUUGGGCUAGUAAUGUUACAGAUCGUAAGUCCACUUCUGAUUUUUGUAUGUUUUUUUGGUGAUUCCUUGAUUUCUUGGAAAAGCAAGAAACAAACUGUUGUUUCCCAUUCUACUGCCGAAGCUGAGUACCAUGCUAUGGCUCAUGCUACUGCUGAAGUUGUCUGGCUUCAUUGUCUUCUCUCUAACUUGGCCGUCCCUCAGCCUUUUCUGACCUCCCUCUAUUGUGAUAAUUGUAGUGCUAUUCAGAUUGUCCAUAACAUUGUCUUCCAUGAGUGAACAAAGCACGUUUAGAUUGAUUGUCACUUUGUUCGUAAGCAUUUGCAAUCUGGCUUUAUGUUGCUUCCUUUCGUCUCUUUGGCUCUGCAACUUGCUGACUUCUUUACGAAGACUCACACCAUUGCUCGGUUUCAGUUUUUUCUUGGCAAACUCUCAGUGUUUUAUGCUAAAACACCUUGAGUUUGAGCGUGGAUGUGAGAAUAUUAGAGUAGGUUUAUAUAUAUGGUAGUGUAUAUUGUCUAUAUAUAUGGCAUUGUUUCCUUUUCCUAUAUGAGAGUGUUUCCUUUCCUUAAUUUUAGGGCUAGGAUUACUAUAUAAUCAGAUGUAUUCUUUGUAUUAUGACACAAUUGAAUAUACAGUUUCAUUCAUAAAACUUACAUCUUGUACAAACAAGAAGCCAAUGACUUUGCGAAUAGCUUCGCAGCUGUAAUGAGUUUGAGAUUCUCUCUAUAUAAAGGAUAGACUGUUAAAUUUUUGUAAUUGGCAAUCACAUUUAACAAAACUCCUUUUAAUAGUAAUUUUAUUCACUAUUUUGUUUCGGUGAGGUUAUGAGAGUGUUUAGUUAGUGAGUCUAUAAGAGUGUUUAGAUGCGAAUCUAACCUGAAUUAUGUUUUUGUUUGCCACUUCGCCGACUAUGUACUGGGAUCGAGCUUGCGGAGGUCCAGGGGGCAGCACCCUAUGGUGUGUUCAGGGCAACGCCCACGUAGGGUCGAGGGGCAUCGCCACCGAAGCCAAAGUUGUUUGACCGCUCAAGCGGUCAUUUGUGCGCUCGAGAGGUGAAUAGGAGCACUCAGUAUCUCUGCUUGCAAACUGAACUUUUGGGAAACAAGUUUUAUUGCUCUAGCGGUGAAAGUUGCGUUCGAGUGGUCGGCCUACAUGUUUUGCAUCGCUUUUACUAACACCGCUUGAGAUGGUGAAGUGUGCGCUCGAGCGAUAUUCGCGAUUCAGUUUACUAUAAAGUACGCAGUUUGCUGUUUUUAGGGUUUAAAUCGUCUAGAAUCUUAGAGAGAAAGAAAAGACAAAGUGUUUUCUAUCGGAGGCUGUUUUGUAUAAGUUUACUUGGUGUAUAAAAGGUGAUUGAUUGAUCAACGAACUACAGAUUGUCAAACAUCAAGGGUUGUUCAACAUCAAGGGUUGUUCUUAUUAUUUUGUUCACAAAAGAGGUGUUUUUCCGUGGAUUCCGGAAAACUUGGGCUUGAAGCUUUGGUGGAUUUCGGAGUGGCUCAUUGUCGUGGAUUCAAUAUCAGCAUUGUGGAUUCAACGUUGGGUAAGACAAUUCCGAGAUAAAGAUGGUGGUGGAAGAGGCACAUCUGGGUCGGUUCAAUUUGGACAUGGAUUAGUUAGGUAAUUAAGGGUAUACUUGUGUAAUUCUUUUUUAUUUUCUUAGUAAAUUGUUUUGUGGUUUUUGCCUGUGGUAUUUUAUCACAAUUGGAGGUGCUCCACUUGUGAUUUUUUUCACGUUAAAUCAUUGUGUCGAUUUGUUUUUGAUUGUUUGAUUGUGAUUAUUUUUCAUUGUUUGAAAUUGAAACAUAAUUGCAAAUAAAUAUCUUGGAGAUUUUAGAUC
Camellia sinensis is the source of this 4527-nucleotide long non-coding RNA. RefSeq lists it as uncharacterized. Lineage: Eukaryota; Viridiplantae; Streptophyta; Magnoliopsida; Ericales; Theaceae. The record is from RefSeq and is a predicted model, not a curated record.